Molecule: ribosomal RNA, 678 nt
Filed under: Triticum aestivum (bread wheat)
Lineage: Eukaryota; Viridiplantae; Streptophyta; Magnoliopsida; Poales; Poaceae
Description: partial small subunit ribosomal RNA
Source: RNAcentral
AUGCAAGUGCAGGCGGCCGCUACCAUACGGCUUUGUCUUGCGGAUCAGGUCAUGUAUCAUGACAUGGACGAAGAUACUCCUAAGGGAAUUUGGGACAAGUUGGCAAAUCGUUAUAUGUCCAAGUCAGCGACCAAUAAGCUGUAUUUGAAGCAAAAGUUCUAUGGGCUGAAGAUGCAGGAGGGGUCGGAUCUUGUGGAGCAUGUGAAUGCCUUUAAUCAGUUGGUCACGGAUCUAGCGCGUCUGGAUGUGAAGAUUGAGGACGAGGAUAAGGCACUACUUCUUCUUGUUUCAUUGCCACCGUCCUAUGAGCAUUUGGUCAUUACAUUGACACAUGGAAAGACAACCGUCAAUAAUGAGGAAGUCACUGCAGCGUUGCUUGGGCAUGAGCUGAGAAAGCAAAAGAAUGCUACAGAGGAGAGUACUCAAGGUUUGCGGUUGGCAGGUAAAGGUUAUCAGAUCAGGAAGGGACAAGAGGCGGAGAAGAAAAAGAAGAAAAAGGUGCAGUGCUACAGGUGCAAGGACUGGGGACAUAUAAAGAGGGAAUGCCCAGAACUGAAGGGUGGGGCAAGUGCUAAUGCGGCUAUUCAUGGUGAUGACUCGGACAGUAGUAGUGAUGUUCUCGUAGUAUCAAACAUGCGGUCAACAAAAACUGAAGCGUGGAUGUUGGAUUCAGCUUGA